AUGUGUGUUUGUGUGUGCAUGUAUAUGUAUAUAUUUACAUAUAAUACAUAUCUAUAGGUGUGUAUAUACAUGCUGUAUA
Molecule: microRNA precursor, 79 nt
Filed under: Microtus ochrogaster (prairie vole)
Lineage: Eukaryota; Metazoa; Chordata; Mammalia; Rodentia; Cricetidae
Description: miRNA (ENSMOCG00000008414.1)
Source: RNAcentral